RNAcentral lists this long non-coding RNA (1898 nucleotides) under Marmota monax (woodchuck). The record is from RNAcentral. Lineage: Eukaryota; Metazoa; Chordata; Mammalia; Rodentia; Sciuridae.
CUCUUUUUAACAUUUAAGUUAUUGAUGAACACAACACAAUGCCUUUAUUUUUAUGUGGUGCUGAGGAUUGAACCCAGGUCCCGCCUGUGCUAGGCGAGCGCUCUACCGCUGAGCCACAACCCCAGCCCCAGUUGGGGUUCUUCUAUAUAUUUUGGCUAUUAACCCCUUAUCAGAUGUAUGGUUUGCAAAUAUUUUCUCCAAUUUCUGGACUGGGGAUGUGCCACAAUGGUAGAGCACAUACUUAGCAUGUGUGAAAAGCCUCACACCAAAAAAAGAAAGAAAAAUGACUCAUUCCAUAGGGGCCUUUUCACUCUCUGGAUGGUUUCCUCUGCUGUGCAGAAGUUUUUUAGUUUGUUCCAAUCCUUGUCCAUUCUUGCCUCUGCUUUGAGGGUUAUGUCUGAGAAAUCAUUGCCAAUGCCGGAGUUCUAAGGCCUUUCCAAGUUUACUUCUAGGAGUUUUAUAUUUAUAAGUCUUAUAUUUAGGUCUUUAAUCCAUUUUACUUAGUUUUUGUGUAUGGUGAAAGAUAAAAGUCCAACAUGAUUCUUUUGCAUAUAAACAUCCUGUUUUCCCAGCACCAUUUGUCUUUUCCCCAUUGGAUAGUCCUGACACUUUUGUCAACAAUCAUUUGACUGUAGACUUGUGGGUUUAUUUGGGGGCUCUCUGUUCUGUUCUUUUAACAUAGAUGUCUUGUCUUUAUGACAGUACCAUACUAUUCUGCAUUGUUAAUAUGUUUUGGUCUGAAAGUAUAAGUCCUGCAGUAUGCUCUGCUCUUCUCCUUCCUGGAAGCUGUAACAGAAAUUGGGGCGUUCUUGCCCAGCACUGAGCUGCACUGGCUUGGAGAAGGGACAUAUUUGUUAAGAUUAAAAGAACACCAACUUCAUAGGUUGUUAUGAGAAUUGGGAAAGAUUCCAUCCAUGAAUGACAAGGACACAUUCUGGAAAAUACAUCAUUAGAGUAUUUCCUCAUGGUACAAACAUCAUGGAGCAUACUUACACAAACCCAGAUGAUGUGACUUACUACACACCUAGGCUUUAUGAGUAACCUAUGUGUAUCCCAGGCUACAGAUUUGUACAGUAUGUUACCGUACUUCAUAUUGUAGGCAGUCAUAAUGCAAUGGUAAAUAUUUGUGUACCUAAUCAUAGAAAAGAUAUGGUAAACUACUAGAUGACCAGAACUUUUCAGCUCCGCUAUAAUCUUAAGGAACCAUCAUUUUAUGUGUAUUCUACCAUCGGUCAAAACAUCCUUAUGCAGUGCAUGACUCUAAAAAUAUUUAAAACAGUGCUUAGAAUAUAGUAAGUUCUCAAUUGUUAUUAUUAUUUAGAAAAGAGCAAUUGUGAUGAAAUUGCUUUUUCUUUUUUUCUUUUUGCCGUAUUGGGGAUGGAAUCCAGGACUUCAUUCAUUCUAGGCAAGCAUUCUACCACUGAGCCAUAUCCCCAGCCUGUUUUAUUUUAUACAAGCCGGUCUUGAACUUUCAGUCCUGCUUCAGCCUCCUGAGUAGUUAUGCUUACAGGUUUGUUCCACCAUGGCCAGCAAUGAAAUUGCUCUUCUUUUAAAAACAAACAAACAAACAAACAAACAAAAAAUAUAUAUAUAUAUGGAGAGAGAGAGAGAGAGAGAGAGAGUGUGUGUGUGUGUGUGUGUGUGUGUGUGAAUGUUGUUAAUGGACCUUUAUUUAUUUAUUUGUAUUCCAUGCUGAGAAUUGAACCCAGUGCCUCAUGCAUGCUAGGCAAUAACUCUACCACUGAGCUAAAACCCCAGCCCACAGUUGCUCUUUUUAUAUACAUACUUAGUCAUAGUUGGACACAAUAACUUUAUUUAAUUUAUUUAUUUUUAUAUAGUGUUGAGGAUCAAAUCCAGUGCCUUGUAUGUGCUAGGCAAGCACUCUACCACUGAGUCAC